Molecule: long non-coding RNA, 4294 nt
Organism: Brassica rapa (field mustard)
Lineage: Eukaryota; Viridiplantae; Streptophyta; Magnoliopsida; Brassicales; Brassicaceae
Source: RefSeq, a predicted model, not a curated record
AUGUUAGCAUGUCACAAGAAUAAUGACACUCUCAUCUUAGAAAAAAUAAAAGAACAAGAAGAAUGACAUUCCCCUUGUCCGAACAACAACCACAUGGACUUGAUUUGCGCGAGUUUCAAUCAGUUCUCUUGCCCACAUGUGUUUAUCUGAUCUAUCCUAGCCACAUAUCCACCACUACCUUCUUAAUCUUAAGAAAUUGUUAUGACCAUUUCCAAUAAGGUGCUGUUCUUUUGCUCAUCCAGCUGAAUUUUAAAAACUCAUCUCAAUUUUUCACCCAAAUGAGGAUGAAUUUUGAUGGUGCAUCUGCAUGCAAGUGCAUCUAAUUAAGUUUAAAAUGAUAAAUGGCAAAAUAACUUCUUAAAAUCAAAAUAUUAUUUUCGAACCAAAAAUCCUAUAUUUUCCCUUAUACAUUUUUCCGUCAAAACCGAAAAAUGCAUUUUCUCGCCAAAACUGAAACACACUUUUCGCCAAAACCACAAAAAUACGUUUUUCCCCAAAAAGCGUAAAAAUGCACAUUUCCAUAAAACAUACAUUUCGGCCAAACUAGUAACCCACACUUUUCGGCCAAAACGAUAAAAAUACACUUUCCCGCCAAAAUCUUAAACCGCACUAAAACCGAAAAUCAUACUUUCCCGCCAACACAGUAAAAACACACUUUGUCGCCAAAAAUUGCAAAAUACAUUUUUCCACCAAAACUGGAAAACACACAUUUUCUCGCAAAAACCGAAAAAAUGCAUUUUACAGUCAAAACCGAAAACGCAUUUUCCAUCAAAAACGUAAAAACAUAUUUUUCCGUAAAAUCUAGGGGUGGGCAAAAAACCCAAACCGAACCGAACCAAACCAACCAAACCGAAGUUAAACCGAACCAAACCAAACCGUGCUCUUUAUGUAACCCAAUUGGUUCAUGUUUUACUCAACCCGAACGGUUUGGUUUGGUUUGGGUUUAAACCGAACCAAACCGAACCAAACCGAUAAUCUAAUAUAUAUAUAGUAAAAAUAUAUAUGAUAUAUAUAUAUAUGUAUUAACAUAUUGCAAAUUUUAGUUAAAGUUUCGUUUUUCAUUUUUUCAUAAUUUCCAUAUCUUAAAAAAAAAAUAUAAAUACGAUUCAAAUAAUACUAUUAUAUAUAAAAUCAUGUAGCAUAAGUUUUUAUAUUCUCACUCUAUCGUUUAUGAGUUGAUUAUUUUUUAAUAAAAGUAUAAAACUGAUGCCUUCAUAUUUUAUAACUAACCCGAACUACACCGAACCAAACUAGACCAUUAUAAUGUAAACCGAACUAAAUCUAAACCAAACCAAACUGAACCGAACCGAAUUAAACCCAAACCGAACCCAAACCAAAGCUACUUUGGUUUUAAUUGGUUUGAGUUUUAUAAAACCCAAAUUACCCAAACCAAACCGAACCCAAACCGAACCCGAAACUAAACCGAAAUGCCCACCCCUAGUAAAAUCUGCAAAACACAUUUUUCCGUCAAAACCAGAAAAACGGAUUUUUUCGCCAAAACCGGACAUACACAUUUUCUCACAAAAACCGGACAAACGUAUUUUCCCGCUAAAAACGCAUGUUCCUGCCAAAAUCGAGAAAAUGCAUUUCCCGCUAAAAACCAAAACCGUAUGUUCCCACCAAAACUGCAAAACGCAAUUUCUGUCAAAUCUGCAAAUAUACGUUUUCUCCAAAAAAGCGUAAAAAUGCACAUUUCCAUAAACACACACUUUUUGGCCAAACCAGUAAAACCUUACUUUUCGCCCAAAACGGUAAAAAUACACUUUCCCGAAAGCAGCAUAUAUCAUAAAUACGCUGUAAAAUGCGUUUUUCUGAUUUUGGCGGGGAAAUGCGUUUUCUGAUUUUGGCAUAACGGUUUUGACGGGAAAAUACGUUUUUCCAACUUAUUUAUUUUUGAUUUUCGAAAAUAUCUCUUAUUUAUUUAUGUAAAAACGUUAUUUAUUUACAGAGUAUCUCGAAAGCUCAGCAAAUAUCUCUAUGAAAUGCAUUUUUCUAAUGUUAUUGAUGCGAAAUAAAUAAGAGAUAUUUGCUGAGCUUUCGAGAUACUCUCCCCGUUUCAACGUAUUUAUGAUAUUUUAAAUAAUUUUUGUUAUUUCAUAAUAAAUGACGUUUUUACAUAUUUAGGUAAUUUUAUCUUUAUUAAAAUUGGUAUAACCAGUUACAUUUUAGUAUUUAUGUUCAUAGCUAAAAAUUAAACUUAAAUUAUAGUUAAUGUAAUUUUAAGAAAAAAUAAUUUUUGUAAUAUAUGUGCAUUGAUGCAAAAACAUCAUCUAGUAUAAAACAAUAGGGUAUUUUUUAUUAAUAGAUAUUUUCUGGAAAAAGAAAACUGUCGGCGUCGUAAAAGACUGCAAAAUACCACUAUAUACAUUCACAUACAUUGGUUAAGAAUCUAUACCAUGAACUGUACACGCUUGUCUAUUAUCACAGAAAUAGAACCAGGUUCUCUUUAAAGUGAUUUGAUUUAAUUUGACAAAAAAAAGUGAUUUGAUUUAAUUUAAUUUUUAAUUAGAAAGAACUUCAACGUAAAAAUUCGGUGAUCAUUAAUGUUUACAAAUAUAAUAAAACCUUCUGGAUAUCCUUUGUUGUGAUGUUUCCGGAUAUUCUGAUUUAGAGAAGACUAAAUGUUACUAAUUUUACGAAUAUAAUUAAUUAAAUUAUAGAGCAUUUUAGAGAAAGUAGUUAACAUCACUUUUUCUCUUUUCGACAGAUGAAUUCUAAACAUUUCUAACCUAACACUAACUCUAUUUAAUAUGAUUUCAUACAACAUUUUUUUAAUCCAAACAUGAUUUCAUACAAAAAAAUUUCAAUCUAACAUUAAAAGUCACAGUAUUUUAGUGUAAUACUAUAGUGUUUAUAUUCAGUACAUUAAACACUAUUCACUUAUGUUUAUUAAUAAAAUAUAUAACUAAAUAAAUGAUAAAUAAGAAAAAAAUACAUAUCAAAUUAUAAAUUAAAUAUUUAUAGUAAAAUAUUAUAUGUAUUGAAAUACUAGAUAUGUAUUUAAAUAUUAUUAUAUAUUUAGUAAAUGUUUAUUAUAAUGUGUUUUAUGUAAUAUAUUACAUAAUAAUUAUCUAUGUUUAAAUAUUAAAUAAAAAGUUUUAAUUUAAUAAUAUGAUAACAUAUUUAAAGUGAAGUUUGGUGUUGUGCUUAGAGACUAUUUUUUUAGUGUUGAUUGAAGUUAAAUUCAAGGUCAACGGCCACAACUAUCGUAUCCCAUACUAUCUUACCGACAGAAUCUAUCCGAAAUGGUCAACAUUUAUCCAAUCCAUCCAACUUCUUCAAGGUCCUAAAGUAGAACUAUUUGCUGAACGUCAAGAAUCCGUCAGAAAAGAUGUCGAACGUGAUUUUGGAGUAUUGCAAUUGAGGUUCGCAAUAAUUAAAAACCCAGCUUGACUAUAGGACAAGGAAAAGAUUGGAAGGAUUAUGAGAACUUGUGUCAUACUGCACAAUAUGAUAGUAGAAGACGAACGACACAGAUACAUUCUGUUUGAUACAUCUGACUUCAUAGCAGGAGAGUCAAGCAGAAGUUCCCAUGUUGAUUUCUCGUACUCUACGGAUAUCCCGUCCUAUAUCAGUAAUAUGCUUUCUAUUCGCAAUCAAAUUCGGGAUCAACAGAUACAUGAUCGUUUGAAAGCUGAUUUAGCUGAAAAUAAAUGACAAAAGUUUGGUAAUCUAGAUGAAUAAUAUUUGUAUGUUCAUGAAUUCUCAUUGUAUUAAAUAAAAACUUUUAUAAAAUAUUAAAAAAAAUUUUUUUUAAUUCCUAAGAACCCCGUCUUCAGGUUCACCAAUGGAAGAACAAAAUAGAUACAUGUUCACCACUAUUCAUGGCCUCACCAGAAAUAUAUUAAAAAAUUUCUAUGAACCCCAAAAAAGGAUUCACUAAUGGAGAUGCUCUAAGUGCCUAGCCACUCUUUUACAAUGUCACUACCUAGACUAUACAUAUGGCAUUGAUUGGAAAAUAAUUUGCAAAAAUAUUAUGCUCUUUAUUAUUUAAUUAAACAAUUAUUAAAAAAUAUUUUAAAACUGUAAAUGCUUUCUAAAUAUUUUUAACCAAUGCUUUUAUAAAAUUUGUUUGUUAAAGAUCAUGAACUGAACCGCAUGAACUACUUCCACCGGAAAAGAACAUAACCUAAAUGAAGAGGGACGAAGAAAGGUGAAGAACAACCCAUCUCGCAUCACCACCACCUAAACACGACGAGGAGACAACCGAAAACGAUGAACAAGAUAAAAACAAAAAAAAUGCAUGCACAAUAAAACUUACAUAUCCAAAUAAAUUAUCUUGUUCAAAAUCAGA